AGUGAACACUGGCGGUAGGCCUAACACAUGCAAGUCGAACGGCAGCACAGUGAGAGCUUGCUCUUACGGGUGGCGAGUGGCGGACGGGUGAGGAAUACAUCGGAAUCUACUUUUUCGUGGGGGAUAACGUAGGGAAACUUACGCUAAUACCGCAUACGACCUACGGGUGAAAGCAGGGGAUCUUCGGACCUUGCGCGAUUGAAUGAGCCGAUGUCGGAUUAGCUAGUUGGCGGGGUAAAGGCCCACCAAGGCGACGAUCCGUAGCUGGUCUGAGAGGAUGAUCAGCCACACUGGAACUGAGACACGGUCCAGACUCCUACGGGAGGCAGCAGUGGGGAAUAUUGGACAAUGGGCGCAAGCCUGAUCCAGCCAUACCGCGUGGGUGAAGAAGGCCUUCGGGUUGUAAAGCCCUUUUGUUGGGAAAGAAAAGCAGCAGGUUAAUACCCCGCUGUUCUGACGGUACCCAAAGAAUAAGCACCGGCUAACUUCGUG
Molecule: ribosomal RNA, 492 nt
Filed under: uncultured bacterium
Lineage: Bacteria
Description: partial 16S ribosomal RNA
Rfam family: Bacterial small subunit ribosomal RNA
Source: RNAcentral